This 250-nucleotide long non-coding RNA is filed under the name Elaeis guineensis (African oil palm). RNAcentral describes it as "long non-coding RNA (EGUI_LNC003709)". Lineage: Eukaryota; Viridiplantae; Streptophyta; Magnoliopsida; Arecales; Arecaceae. The record is from RNAcentral.
CUCUAAGGUUUCUACUUGUCAAAUGGUAUGCUAAAUUGGACUUCAUCCAGUUAGGAUAUCCUUUGAAAUACUUCCAUACCACUAAGUCACAGGGGUGCCUCAUCUUUUUUUAUUUUAUUCUUACUAAAAUUGUCCCACUACUUUCGAAAAGAAUGAUGCUCAGGGAGAAAUUGACGAUGACAAUUGAACCAAUAGGGCUUAUGACUAUGCUCAAGUUAAAAUACUUUUAUAUUCUCUAUGCAAUAGGAAC